This 337-nucleotide unclassified non-coding RNA is filed under the name soil metagenome. RNAcentral's name for it is "partial contains 5.8S ribosomal RNA, internal transcribed spacer 2, and large subunit ribosomal RNA". The stretch from base 1 to 120 matches the Rfam family "5.8S ribosomal RNA", at positions 35 to 154 of the family's 154-position model. The record is from RNAcentral.
GAUGAAGAACGCAGCGAAAUGCGAUAAGUAGUGUGAAUUGCAGAAUUCAGUGAAUCAUCGAAUCUUUGAACGCACAUUGCGCCCCUUGGUAUUCCAUGGGGCAUGCCUGUUCGAGCGUCAUUUGUACCUUCAAGCUUUGCUUGGUGUUGGGUGUUUGUCUCGCCUUUGCGUGUAGACUCGCCUUAAAACAAUUGGCAGCCGGCGUAUUGAUUUCGGAGCGCAGUACAUCUCGCGCUUUGCACUCAUAACGACGACGUCCAAAAGUACAUUUUUACACUCUUGACCUCGGAUCAGGUAGGGAUACCCGCUGAACUUAAGCAUAUCAAUAAGCGGAGCA